AACGCGAAGAACCUUACCAGGGCUUGACAUGCACGGUGCAGCCGUAGAGAUACGGUGUCCUUUGGGGUCGUGCACAGGUGGUGCAUGGUUGUCGUCAGCUCGUGUCGUGAGAUGUUGGGUUAAGUCCCGCAACGAGCGCAACCCUCGUCCUGUAUUGCCAGCAGCAUCUUCGGAUGGCUGGGGACUUGCGGGAGACUGCCGGGGUCAACUCGGAGGAAGGUGGGGAUGACGUCAAAUCAUCAUGCCCCUUAUGUCCUGGGCUGCACGCAUGCUACAAUGGCCGGUACAGAGGGCUGCGAUACCGUGAGGUGGAGCGAAUCCCGUAAAGCCGGUCUCAGUUCGGAUCGGGGUCUGCAACUCGACCCCGUGAAGUCGGAGUCGCUAGUAAUCGCAGAUCAGCAACGCUGCGGUGAAUACGUUCCCGGGCCUUGUACACACCGCUCGCGA
Molecule: ribosomal RNA, 447 nt
Filed under: uncultured bacterium
Lineage: Bacteria
Description: bacterial SSU rRNA
Rfam family: Bacterial small subunit ribosomal RNA
Source: RNAcentral